GUGAGUAACGCGUAGGAAUCUACCUAGUAGAAGGGGAUAGCCCGAGGAAACUCGGAUUAAUACCGUAUACCUCCUCGGGAGAAAGAAGGCCUCUCUUUGAAGCUUUCGCUACUAGAUGAGCCUGCGUAAGAUUAGCUUGUUGGUGAGGUAAAGGCUCACCAAGGCUACGAUCUUUAGCGGGUCUGAGAGGACGAUCCGCCACAUUGGGACUGAGACACGGCCCAGACUCCUACGGGAGGCAGCAGUGGGGAAUAUUGGACAAUGGGCGAAAGCCUGAUCCAGCCAUACCGCGUGUGUGAAGAAGGCCCUAGGGUUGUAAAGCACUUUAAGUUGGGAAGAAAAGUUAUUGGUUAAUACCCAAUGACCGUGACAUUACCAUCAG
RNAcentral lists this ribosomal RNA (382 nucleotides) under uncultured Pseudomonadota bacterium. Its description in RNAcentral is "bacterial SSU rRNA". It matches the Rfam family "Bacterial small subunit ribosomal RNA", at positions 106 to 484 of the family's 1533-position model. Lineage: Bacteria; Pseudomonadati; Pseudomonadota. The record is from RNAcentral.